GUUCACCUUCGUUAACAUAGAAUGCAUAGCGUUCUUCUAAAAAAAUAACGCUUUCGGGAUGAAGCCCAUCUUGCUCAGCGAAGAAGAUGAAUGCGAAGAUGAUGACAAUGGAGAUUCAUAUUCAAUAUUUCAAGUAUCGGAUUGGGGAUUCACCAGAAAACUUGUCUCCUUGGUGCUAUAUAUUUUCGAAGGUUUGUUGACGGACAAUCUUUUUUAAGUUGAGCUGAUUCUUUGAGUUAUAAUUUCACACUCUUUUCUAAUAAACUGUCUUGAGUGAUAAUUUGAAUUGAUUUGGUUCUCUUGUCUCGUUAUAUACUUGAUUAUUUCUGUGUUUAUCAUACUUGGUUUUGCUUUCAUGGUUGCCAUUCUUCAGAAAUAUUAAGUUCAAAUUGAAAUACUAUAAGUAGAUUCAGUUAUCACACACACAUGAAGAUGAGGGCCCAUGAGUCGUAGCUCAAGGGAAAGGAUGGGAUGAGGUGAAAUGUAGAUUCUAGGUUCAAUUCUCCGUGUAAUUGAAUUAUAAAAGUUUGAGCAUAAGGUCAUAUGUUCGAUUGUCCCCUUUUCACCCCACUAUUGCUUGUAUCAAAAAAAGAAAAAAAAGAAAAUACCAUUGAUGCACACGAACAACAUUGGCAUAUGGGUUCUUUGAGUGGUUGGGCCUAUCUGCAAUCCAUUACUGAAGAGAAAUAGAGGCAUGGAGAGAGAGCCAUCAGUCCUUGAAGCUUGAUUGGAAGCUUGGUUGGGUAAGCGCGUCAAAAUUUUAUAUCCUCUCUUUAAUCUUUUGUGCUUUUGUUUUUCUGGAUCGACCUUAACUUCCUAUGCUCAUUUUUGUUCUUAAAAUUUAACAGGUUUAGGCAUUUAACCGCAAAAUAAAUAUUAUUUUUCAUGACGAAUUUAGAGGAUGGCAAGGCCAGAAGGAAAUCAAGACAAACUUGAUGAAGGGUCAAUGAGCAGUAGUGUGCACCCUUAAACUUGAUGAGGUUUACUACUAGAAAACCUCUUAAAGUUUAUUCCCAUUAGACACACGUCUAUUCUAUUUCUAGACCAUUUUGGAGUCCUAGUUGAUCUUAGCGACAUGUAUAUUUGUGAUUUGCUUUUAGUGAAAAGAAUACGCUUGAUUUGCUCUCCGUGGACGUAGGGGUUGCCGAACCACGUUAAAGUCUCGUCUCGUUUUUAUAUUGAUUUUUUUUUUCUUUUACUAUCAUUAAUAUACUAAUUGUAUGUGUAAGUAAACAUAAACAAAUUUUUUUAUUUUUUUUUAUUUUGGAAUUAAAAUAUUAUUCUAGCACUACCACAUUGACACAUGCAACAAUUGAGGGCAUAUGAUAUUGAUUCAAGAACUUAUAGGCAUCUUUCUUGGAACAAGUCUAUAAUUAUUAAUUUUUUUUUUUCUCUUACAGUUGUAAUUUAACUUUAGCUUCAUUUCAAAUGAAAUGAGUUGAAACACAG
Molecule: long non-coding RNA, 1449 nt
Filed under: Prunus dulcis (almond)
Lineage: Eukaryota; Viridiplantae; Streptophyta; Magnoliopsida; Rosales; Rosaceae
Description: sRNA ncRNA
Source: RNAcentral